Long non-coding RNA from Scophthalmus maximus (turbot), 260 nucleotides. RefSeq lists it as uncharacterized. The record is from RefSeq and is a predicted model, not a curated record. Lineage: Eukaryota; Metazoa; Chordata; Actinopteri; Pleuronectiformes; Scophthalmidae. The transcript is spliced from 3 exons.
GAGACGGCUACGGACUCAAAGAGGUUGGAGACUACAGUGAACAGAGGCAACAUCGUGUGGCUCUUCACCGCUGGCGUCAACUCCGGUAGGAGAAGAGGGUGAAAGGUACAGCAAGUUGUACAUGAAGAAGUCCAGGACCUGGAGGUUGUCUGCCAUGGACCAGAGCACUGGGACCAGACGAUCCCGUCAACAGCUAGAGAAGCAGGUCAGCAGAGGACCAGGACCACUGCCUAAGAGUCGACAACAACAAAGCCUGACCC